AGAGUUUGAUCAUGGCUCAGGAUGAACGCUAGCGGGAGGCCUAAUACAUGCAAGUCGAGCGGUAGUAUCCUUCGGGAUAUGAGAGCGGCGCACGGGUGAGUAACGCGUACAUGACCUACCUUCAAGACUGGGAUAGCCCUGGGAAACUGGGAUUAAUACCGGAUGUGAUAAUGUUUGUAAGUGAAUAUUAUUAAAGUUGAGGCGCUUGGAGAUGGGUGUGCGUAUGAUUAGCUAGUUGGUGAGGUAACGGCUCACCAAGGCGACGAUCAUUAGGGGGCGUGAGAGCGUGACCCCCCACACGGGUACUGAGACACGGACCCGACUCCUACGGGAGGCAGCAGUAAGGAAUAUUGGUCAAUGGGCGGAAGCCUGAACCAGCCAUCCCGCGUGCAGGAUUAAGGUCCUAUGGAUUGUAAACUGCUUUUAUUAGGGAAGAAACGCCUUCAUUUAUGAGGGUCUGACGGUACCUAAGGAAUAAGCACCGGCUAACUCCGUGCCAGCAGCCGCGGUAAUACGGAGGGUGCAAGCGUUAUCCGGAAUCACUGGGUUUAAAGGGUGCGUAGGCGGGUUAUUAAGUCAGUGGUGAAAGCUGGUCGCUCAACGAUCAAAUUGCCAUUGAUACUGAUAGUCUUGAAUUGAGUUGAGGUUAGCGGAAUGUGACAUGUAGCGGUGAAAUGCGUAGAUAUGUCAUGGAACACCAAUUGCGAAGGCAGCUAGCUAGGCUUAUAUUGACGCUGAGGCACGAAAGC
This 749-nucleotide ribosomal RNA is filed under the name uncultured bacterium. RNAcentral describes it as "bacterial SSU rRNA". It matches the Rfam family "Bacterial small subunit ribosomal RNA", at positions 8 to 760 of the family's 1533-position model. The record is from RNAcentral.